GGGAAUAUAGUUUAAUUGGUAAAGCAUAUGUUUUGCAUACAUAAAAUUAUCGGUUCGAAUCCGGUUAUUUCCA
This 73-nucleotide transfer RNA is filed under the name Pterocladiella musciformis. RNAcentral describes it as "tRNA-Ala". It matches the Rfam family "tRNA". Rfam says of the family: Transfer RNA (tRNA) molecules are approximately 80 nucleotides in length. Their secondary structure includes four short double-helical elements and three loops (D, anti-codon, and T loops). The record is from RNAcentral. Lineage: Eukaryota; Rhodophyta; Florideophyceae; Gelidiales; Pterocladiaceae.